GGCGGCAUACCCAAGUGGCUUAAGGGGACGGUCUGCAAAACCGUUAUGCAUCGGUUCGAAUCCGAUUGCCGCCUCCA
RNAcentral lists this transfer RNA (77 nucleotides) under Candidatus Omnitrophota bacterium. RNAcentral describes it as "tRNA-Cys". It matches the Rfam family "tRNA". From Rfam's summary of the family: Transfer RNA (tRNA) molecules are approximately 80 nucleotides in length. Their secondary structure includes four short double-helical elements and three loops (D, anti-codon, and T loops). RNAcentral also lists the same sequence under 1 other name. Lineage: Bacteria; Pseudomonadati; Candidatus Omnitrophota. The record is from RNAcentral.